This is a non-coding RNA of Saimiri boliviensis boliviensis (Bolivian squirrel monkey), 207 nucleotides long. Lineage: Eukaryota; Metazoa; Chordata; Mammalia; Primates; Cebidae. The record is from RefSeq and is a predicted model, not a curated record.
CGCCUACGAACGAACGUGCUACACUCGGACGUCCCCUGCAGUGGAGGCUGAGAUAAAGAGACAAAACUCCAGAGAUUGUGAGACAAAGCCUGUGACAAAGCUGGAAGGAGAGGGUUGGAUCCCUCACCUACCUGCUCCAAAGCCCAUCCUUCUACAUACCAGGCUGAAAACUGGAGCUUUAGAAGAAGAGGAAGAGAAAGAAGAGGA